Magnolia sinica is the source of this 709-nucleotide long non-coding RNA. RefSeq lists it as uncharacterized. The record is from RefSeq and is a predicted model, not a curated record. The transcript is spliced from 2 exons. Lineage: Eukaryota; Viridiplantae; Streptophyta; Magnoliopsida; Magnoliales; Magnoliaceae.
GGCUAAACUAAUGUUCACAUAUUUAAAGGAGAAAGGAAGUUAAAAGUGAGAAAGCACACAAUGAACCAUACAUAUUGUUGGAUGAUGAGACAUAGAUGAUAAUGCAAAGAAUUUGGAGUUGCCAUUAGAUGGUAGAAAUCGCCUUUCUUCAAGUCAUACCUCAGUAAUCUCCCAUUCUGAUGGUCCUUCACAAAGAAAAUAGUUGGAUGAAAUUCAAAAGUGAAGCAAAUACUAAUUAGCUAUAUAGGGGGACGGUGGAUGCCUAAUGCAUCAAUGUACAUGUGUUGGUUUCUAUACAGUUAGCUAAAUAGCUCGUUUCUCAAAUGUGAACACUCCAAAGAUACUGAUUAAGUAGAAGAAGCCGACAAGUAGAGCAUGUGAGCCAUUGCUAUACUUUUCUAAAUCAUUUAUUUUUUUAUUUUUAUAAAUGUGUGGCCCACUUGAUGAGUUGCCCUACCUGUUUUUGUUAUGAUUAUGUAUGCUUAGAAGCAUCAGAUUGAUUGAUCAUCGGUAACGGGGGAGGUCCUUGUGGGCAUACCACUACAAAAGGAAAUAGUAACAAAACAAGAAAGUUGAUAAGGUAGAACCAUUAGAACUGGAAUGUGGUAGUGCCAUCUCUUUACUGCACAUGGGUUAUGGUCAUGUGUCAAUUGAGACCGUCCAUCCAGUAGGGCCCAUCUUAAAUCAUGUUCCCUCUAAAUUUUUUUUU